UUUUGAAAGCUGGCACCUCCGGUGUCCGCGUUGUAAUCUCGAGACGUGUUUUCCGUGCGGCUCUAUGGACAAGUCCCUUGGAAUAGGGCAUCGUAGAGGGUGAGAAUCCCGUACUUGCCAUGGAAGAACCGUGCUUUGCGAUACACGCUCUAAGAGUCGAGUUGUUUGGGAUUGCAGCUCAAAAUGGGUGGUAGACUCCAUCUAAAGCUAAAUAUCGGGGAGAGACCGAUAGCGAACAAGUACCGUGAGGGAAAGAUGAAAAGCACUUUGGAAAGAGAGUUAAAAGUACGUGAAAUUGUCGAAAGGGAAGCACUUGAAGUCAGCCAUGCUGCUUGAGACUCAGCCUGGCCUUUGGGCUUGGUGUAUUUCUCGGUGGCAAGCCAGCAUUGGUUUGGGUCGUCGGAGAAGCGCAUAGGGAAUGUAGCGUCCCCGGACGUGUUAUAGCCUUAUGCAGGAUACGAC
This 462-nucleotide ribosomal RNA is filed under the name Malassezia globosa. RNAcentral's name for it is "partial large subunit ribosomal RNA". It matches the Rfam family "Eukaryotic large subunit ribosomal RNA", at positions 113 to 577 of the family's 3401-position model. The record is from RNAcentral. Lineage: Eukaryota; Fungi; Basidiomycota; Malasseziomycetes; Malasseziales; Malasseziaceae.